CAAUGGAUAUUUUAUAAAAAAAUAUUAAUUUUGGAGAUUAAAGAAAAAUAACAAAUUUUCCGUUGA
Molecule: transfer RNA, 66 nt
Filed under: Plerochila australis
Lineage: Eukaryota; Metazoa; Arthropoda; Insecta; Hemiptera; Tingidae
Description: tRNA-Pro
Source: RNAcentral